Molecule: ribosomal RNA, 328 nt
Filed under: uncultured Owenweeksia sp.
Lineage: Bacteria; Pseudomonadati; Bacteroidota; Flavobacteriia; Flavobacteriales; Owenweeksiaceae
Description: bacterial SSU rRNA
Rfam family: Bacterial small subunit ribosomal RNA
Source: RNAcentral
UGCGCAGGCGGAUUGGUAAGUCAGGGGUGAAAUCCCACAGCUCAACUGUGGAACUGCCUUUGAUACUGUCAGUCUAGAGUAUAGUUGAAGUUGGCGGAAUGUGUCAUGUAGCGGUGAAAUGCUUAGAUAUGACACAGAACACCGAUCGCGAAGGCAGCUAGCUAAGCUAUAACUGACGCUCAUGCACGAAAGCGUGGGGAUCAAACAGGAUUAGAUACCCUGGUAGUCCACGCUGUAAACGAUGAUUACUCGAUGUUGGCGAUACACAGUCAGCGUCUGAGCGAAAGCAAUAAGUAAUCCACCUGGGGAGUACGAUCGCAAGAUUGAA